GUUUGACCAGUGGAGAUAAUUCAGACUGAGGUUGAAUUCGAAUGAGUGCACUAUCAGAGUGCGGUCCGGUAAGAUGUUGGGGUUCAUUGUAAGGGAGGAAUCGAGGUUCAUCCUGCGGAAAAAAAAACAAGAAAAAAAAGAACAAUAAGAGAAACGCCUGAACCGAGAAAGAAAAAGAGAGGUUCGUGGUUUCAUAGAUAGAUUGAACUACCUGUCAUGGUUCACAUCUN
Molecule: long non-coding RNA, 230 nt
Filed under: Lathyrus oleraceus (garden pea)
Lineage: Eukaryota; Viridiplantae; Streptophyta; Magnoliopsida; Fabales; Fabaceae
Description: Pisum sativum (pea) long non-coding RNA (PSAT_LNC026219)
Source: RNAcentral